AUUGAACGCUGGCGGCAUGCUUUACACAUGCAAGUCGAACGGUAACAGGGUGCUUGCACCGCUGACGAGUGGCGAACGGGUGAGUAAUGCGUCGGAACGUGCCGAGUAGUGGGGGAUAACGCAGCGAAAGUUGUGCUAAUACCGCAUACGUACUGAGGUAGAAAGUGGGGGACCUUCGGGCCUCACGCUAUUCGAGCGGCCGACGUCUGAUUAGCUAGUAGGUGAGGUAAAGGCUCACCUAGGCGACGAUCAGUAGCGGGGCUGAGAGGAUGAUCCGCCACCCUGGGACGUGGCCACUGCCCAGACCCCAGCGGGAGGCAGCGGUGGGGAAUUUUGGACAAUGGGCGAAAGCCUGAUCCAGCCAUGCCGCGUGUCUGAAGAAGGCCUUCGGGUUGUAAAGGACUUUUGUCAGGGAGGAAAUCCCUAGUGCUAAUAACACUGGGGGAUGACAGUACCUGAAGAAUAAGCACCGGCUAACUACGUGCCAGCCGCCGCCGUAA
Molecule: ribosomal RNA, 500 nt
Filed under: uncultured bacterium
Lineage: Bacteria
Description: partial 16S ribosomal RNA
Rfam family: Bacterial small subunit ribosomal RNA
Source: RNAcentral